Molecule: ribosomal RNA, 247 nt
Filed under: uncultured Saccharofermentans sp.
Lineage: Bacteria; Bacillati; Bacillota; Clostridia; Eubacteriales; Oscillospiraceae
Description: partial 16S ribosomal RNA
Rfam family: Bacterial small subunit ribosomal RNA
Source: RNAcentral
CACGCCGUAAACGAUGAAUACUAGGUGUAGGGGGUAUCGACUCCCCCUGUGCCGCAGCUAACGCAUUAAGUAUUCCACCUGAGUAGUACGGUCGCAAGACUGAAACUCAAAGGAAUUGACGGGGACCCGCACAAGCAGUGGAGUAUGUGGUUUAAUUCGAGGCAACGCGAAGAACCUUACCAAGGCUUGACAUCCCGUGACAAACAUAGAAAUAUGUCUUUCCCUUCGGGGACACGGAGACAGGUGG